RNAcentral lists this ribosomal RNA (177 nucleotides) under uncultured bacterium. Its description in RNAcentral is "partial 16S ribosomal RNA". It matches the Rfam family "Bacterial small subunit ribosomal RNA", at positions 1326 to 1500 of the family's 1533-position model. The record is from RNAcentral.
CUGGAGUUACUAGUAAUCGCAGAUCAGAAUGCUGCGGUGAAUGCGUUCCCGGGUCUUGUACACACCGCCCGUCACACCACGGAAGUUGGGGGCGCCCGAAGCCACUUAGCUAACCCUUUUGGGAAGCGAGUGUCGAAGGUGAAAUCAAUAACUGGGGUGAAGUCGUAACAAGGUACC